RNAcentral lists this ribosomal RNA (253 nucleotides) under uncultured bacterium. RNAcentral describes it as "partial 16S ribosomal RNA". It matches the Rfam family "Bacterial small subunit ribosomal RNA", at positions 524 to 776 of the family's 1533-position model. The record is from RNAcentral.
UACAGAGGGUGCAAGCGUUAAUCGGAUUUACUGGGCGUAAAGGACGCGUAGGUGGUUAUUUAAGUGAGAUGUGAAAUCCCCGGGCUCAACCUGGGAACUGCAUCUUAUACUGGGUAACUGGAGUACAUUAGAGGGCAGUGGAAUUUCCGGUGUAGCGGUGAAAUGCGUAGAUAUCGGAAGGAACACCAGUGGCGAAGGCGGCUACCUGGAAUGAUACUGACACUGAGGCGUGAGAGCGUGGGGAGCAAACAGG